Molecule: ribosomal RNA, 372 nt
Filed under: uncultured bacterium NIC018
Lineage: Bacteria; Pseudomonadati; Pseudomonadota; Gammaproteobacteria
Description: bacterial SSU rRNA
Rfam family: Bacterial small subunit ribosomal RNA
Source: RNAcentral
ACAUGCAAGUCGNUGGGUGAACGAGCAGCCGGACGGUGAGUAUGUUGGGAACUGCCUGAUGGAGGAGGAUAACUACUGGAAACGGUAGCUAAUACCGCAUAACGUCUUCGGACCAAAGUGGGGGACCUUCGGGCCUCACGCCAUCAGAUGAGCCCAGAUGGGAUUAGCUAGUAGGUGGGGUAAUGCCUCACCUAGGCGACGAUCCCUAGCUGGUCUGAGAGGAUGACCAGCCACACUGGAACUGAGACACGUCCAGACUCCUACGGGAGGCAGCAGUGGGGAAUAUUGGACAAUGGGCGAAAGCCUGAUCCAGCCAUGCCGCGUGUGUGAAGAAGGUCUUCGGAUUGUAAAGCACUUUAAGUUGGGAGGAAG